This 1886-nucleotide long non-coding RNA is filed under the name Podarcis lilfordi (Lilford's wall lizard). The record is from RNAcentral. Lineage: Eukaryota; Metazoa; Chordata; Lepidosauria; Squamata; Lacertidae.
GGGCAGGUGGAGGUAACUUCUCAGGAGGAGCAAAUAAGGAAAUCCUGGAGAAGGAAAAGUUUUGAUAAGGCUAAUGAAGGCCACUGCUUCUGGACUUCCGGGGUGGCGCCAUCGGCAAUGGCGGACUCCCUCUGAACUGGAGGGACCAGCUCCGUGUGAAACGGGUCUUUUCCGCUACGGCGAAGCGGGGACCCUUUUAGAAAUCACAGGCGGAUGAAGCCUGUGACCAUGGGACUUGGCGGGCACCCUUAGCGCCCCCCCCCCAACCCGCAAAGGAACCCAUUAACGGGCUCCGAAGUGAAGAGGGGGAAGUGGCGCGGUGCUGCGAGUCAACCGCUUUUUCUGUGGAGCGAAGCCGCAUAGCCGUUGCCGGAGAGCGCUGCCUUUUUCCUGGGACAAUUUGGCAUCUAAAAUAAUCACCCGUGAGUACAUAAACUUUGAACAAUCGGACUAUAAACAAGGACUGGCGAGCAGAAAGGAAUUGGACUUAAAAAUUUAAUCUAAUUUGGUACUGAAACGGGAAGGUCUAAACAGGAAGUCAGCCUUCCUUUUCUCUGUAGACAGAAUAAAGCAAAGACAACGUAAACUAGAGCUUAGAAAAUUACUUCUAAAGGAUUGGCUUUCAUCAUUUAAAAUUGUUGAGCCCCCCUUCGGUAGCAGGAGAAGAAGGGGGAUCUUUUUUUUGGACUGUUUAAACCUGCAGAAGUGAGUUCAAAGUAAAGUAACUUUCCUCCGUCCUGAUCCUGUAGCGGGGUGUCAGGACUGACAUUUGAAGCUCAUUGACCAGAGACAAAUGCUUGUGACAGACAGUUAAAAGAAGUGUAAUAUAGUGAUUCCACUGUUUCCUUUCGCAUUUUAAAGGAACAAAUAUUGACAAAAUAUCUCUAAAAAGAAACUUUGUUGCUAUUGUCUUUAAAAAGAAAGAACAAACAGAAGUUUUCCCCCUAGAGGGAGACUGUGAAACUGUAACUAAUUCCAGGGAGCUUGCAGCUGUUACAGAUUACAAUCGUGGGAAAGGACUUGUGACCUUGCAGGACAAUGUUUUCAGAAGCUCUGUUGUGUGCUCUCUGUAAAAUAAAUGCCCUACUGGACCAGUUAAAUCAGAAGACGGACUUGAUGACUAAUGCGGCCAGAACUUUUGAACAGGUAGUGGGAAACUAUAUGGAGCCCACCCAGGAACUAAAACAGGAGUGUGCCCUGACAGAACAGAUGAGAGAAGAGGACGCUGCUGAAUCUUGGGCGCCGGAGAUGGAGGGAGCUGCGGCCCUGCAGGAACAUGAGCCUUUGGAUUUGACAAAUGAUCUUGGAAAAAACCAGAUUUGGAAAUAUAAAGUUUGGAUUGGUUUGGAAAUGGGGGGUUGGAUUGACCCCCCCAUGCAGGGAUGUUUGGACUUUCCGAGUCCGGCAAUGGGCCGUCAGAUGUUUGGAGCUGUGGGGGCUCUCAAUUUUGGAGGGAAUCUGAAACAUGUUCUUAAAUAUCACAUGGAGUUUAGUCCGGACUAUGGAAAAGGGGCUGAUUUGUUGAAAAGGGUCAAAAACAUUACCAAGCUGGAGUUCCCACGAGUGAAAGGAAAAUAUGAAGAAGAGCCGCGGAAGGGACAUGGAAGAGACUUGAGGGCCUCGGAUAUAAGGUUACCAGGUUAAUGCGCUAGAUCAACGGGAUAAAAAGGACUGACAAAACCCGGGACCAGGAGGAAGGGACGCUGGAUGAAGAUUGGAUUGUUCUUAUUUCUUUUUCUAUCGUUAGGAUUGUUUUAUAAAAUUGAUGAAUGUUAGAAAAAUGUUGAAAUGAAAUUACUUGGCUCUAGCAAAAAUGUUUAAAGAAUUAGGUAAGAAUAUUAUGGUUAUGAGAAGUUGGUAAAAAUAAGAUUUAAGCUUUAAGGUUU